This 613-nucleotide long non-coding RNA is filed under the name Lathyrus oleraceus (garden pea). RNAcentral describes it as "Pisum sativum (pea) long non-coding RNA (PSAT_LNC022070)". The record is from RNAcentral. Lineage: Eukaryota; Viridiplantae; Streptophyta; Magnoliopsida; Fabales; Fabaceae.
UGCGGGGAUGUUUGGCAAGGUAAUUGAGAUGAUACAUUGACUCUACAAAGAGAACUUUCAGCUUCUUUUUGUGCAAGUUGUGAGGGUGUUUGACUAGGUAAUUGAGAUGAUACAUUAGCUCUACGAUUAGAACUUCCAACUCCUUGUUGUGCAGGUUGUGAGGAUGUUUGGUUAGGUAAUUGAGAUGAUACAUUAGCUAUACGAUGAGAACGCCUAAGUCCUGGUUGUGAGGGUGUUUGGUUAGGUAAUUGAGAUGAUAAAUUAACUCUACAAUGAGAACUUUCAACUUCUUUUUGUGCAAGUUGUGAGGGUGUUUGACUAGGUAAUUGAGAUGAUCCAUAAGCUCUACGAUGAGAACGUCUAACUCCUGGUUGUGAGGAUGUUUGGCAAGGUAAUUGAGAUGAUACAUUAACUCUACAAUGAGAACUUCUAACUCCUUGUGAGAAUGUUUGGUUAGGUAAUUGAGAUGAUACAUUAGUUAUACGAUGAGAACGUCUAACUCCUUGUUGUGCAGGUUGUGAGGAUGUUUGGUUGGGUAACUGAGAUGAUACAUUAGUUCUACCAUGAGAACUUUCAACUCCUUGUGCAGGUUGCAUUUGGUUAGGUAAUUGAG